UCUAAUUACUCCAAGCCUUUAACCAACACCAGUAAUAAAACAUCUAAUGGGAACAAUGCAACCAAUUCCCAAGAUAAGGGCAAGGGGAAGCUGUAUAUGAUGUCGACUAGAGAACAAGAGGCUCGAAGGGAUGUUGUCUCGGGUCCCAAUUUCAUAAGCGGAACGUUCGAUUAAGACAGCGAAAAUUCUCCGUUACAAGACUAGGUGUGCUGGUGCUGCUGCAUAAUCUCGAGCAUACGAGGACUAGGCUUGGGUAUUUACAUUUAAAGCAUUUUGAAACAAGUAUUAUUGGUUUUUCUAAGACUUAUAUAAAUGGUUUGUGGUUUGAAUGAAAGGGGUCAUUGAUGAUUCCCGAGUUGUAUUUAUAUUUUAAUUCCGCUGCAUUUUAGUUUUCAAGUUAAUGUUUCAAGUUA
Molecule: long non-coding RNA, 413 nt
Organism: Beta vulgaris subsp. vulgaris (sugar beet)
Lineage: Eukaryota; Viridiplantae; Streptophyta; Magnoliopsida; Caryophyllales; Amaranthaceae
Exons: 3
Source: RefSeq, a predicted model, not a curated record